RNAcentral lists this non-coding RNA (23 nucleotides) under Cricetulus griseus (Chinese hamster). Lineage: Eukaryota; Metazoa; Chordata; Mammalia; Rodentia; Cricetidae. The record is from RNAcentral.
AUCGGGAUGAGGAAUGAGCAAGC